RNAcentral lists this unclassified non-coding RNA (349 nucleotides) under soil metagenome. Its description in RNAcentral is "partial contains 5.8S ribosomal RNA, internal transcribed spacer 2, and large subunit ribosomal RNA". The stretch from base 1 to 120 matches the Rfam family "5.8S ribosomal RNA", at positions 35 to 154 of the family's 154-position model. The record is from RNAcentral.
GAUGAAGAACGUAGCGAAAUGCGAUAAGUAAUGUGAAUUGCAGAAUUCAGUGAAUCAUCGAAUCUUUGAACGCACAUUGCGCCCCCUGGUAUUCCGGGGGGCAUGCCUGUUCGAGCGUCAUUUCAACCCUCAAGCUCUGCUUGGUAUUGGGCGUCGCCGGGGAGUCUCCUCGGCGUGCCUCAAAGCCAUCGGCGGUGGUGCCUUUCUCUAAGCGUGGUAGAAUUUUUAUUCGCUUCUGAGUUGGGCUUCGCCUGCCGGACAAACCGGGCCCUCGCGGCCCACCUUCUCAGGUUGACCUCGGAUCAGGUAGGGAUACCCGCUGAACUUAAGCAUAUCAAUAAGCGGAGGA